UGUGAAGCUCGUGAGGUGGUGGAGACGACUACAUGAAGAGAAGCUGAGAUUUCUCCUUCUUCUGCUCAGAGAGAAAGAUCAGGUCACAAGCUCGAAUUCCGAGUCGAUGAAGAAGAUAUACAUGAAGGUGAAAAGUAAGGGGAAGAGAAGUGAGAAGUUUCAAGAAGUUGUGGCAACUCUUCUCAAGAAAAUAUUGAUUGUUUUAAAGACAGAGGAAGUGCUAGCCCAAUGAAUUGUUGGAAUAGACAGCUUCUGGGAAUUAACGUGGCUUCAUGUUAACAACAUUGCUCCAUCCAUGCGACCCAAGGUAUUCCCUGAUCACGAACCUUCAGAGUUUACACAACUUGGAAGUGAUGAAACCGUCUCAACCACCUUUGAACGGCUUAGCAUAUGCCGAAGAAAGACCAACCGCAGCUGGUUAGGAUUUCUUCAAAAUCAAAGGCUGGAUAGCACAACCAUAGUCCAACAUGUAGUGAGAUGACCGUUGCAGUGUUUUAAGCUCACUGGACUUUGGGGAAGAAAGUGUUUUGGGCUUCCAGACCAUUUUAAUGUUGUUGGGCUUUGGCCUGUUUGCUGAGACACUCACUUCUCCUUUUGUCGUUUCCUUGUCUGAGAGCAAAGUACUCUUGUUGUUGCUUUUCUCAGCUAGGUCAAAUUCUCCUUUCUUCGAAUUUGGAUCUUCCUCCUUAAUAGUCCCCCUCAAACUCGGAGUAGGUGGGACAGCGACACCGAGUUUGAAUCGAAGAGAAGUAAAAGGGCCCGGCGAAAGCGACUUUGUGAAGAUGUCAGCGAGCUGGAGAGUGUUUGGUAUAUGAGUAACCCGAAGAUUCCCCAAGGCGACCUGCUCCCGUACAUAGUGCCAGUGUGUCUGAAAGUGUUUGCUGCGUUUAUGGAAGGCCGGAUUCGCUGUCAAAUAGACGGAGGAGAGAUUAUCACAGUACAACUCCGGAGGACAGUAGAGAGAGCUUUUUGCUACCGUUGGCUGUUUUUGAGAUUGCCAGGAGAUAACAUUCGUUCCCAAAAAGGUACAAAAACCACCUGUAGAUCUUCUAGUGGAGAGACAGCCCCCAUAGUCGCUAUCACUGAGAUUAAAGUCGGAGACGGUAGGCGUGUGCAUCUUCUGACACACGAAGUUCACCGCAAAUUGAAUGUCUGGCCUUGUCAGCGUGAGCGGCAGUGGAGUAGGCAUUGGGGCGCAAUCUAACAUCCCAGCUAUGGCAAGUAAGUCUUCAGCAUACUUUUGCUGAGACAAGAAAAGUCCCCCUGAAUGAUAUUGCAUCUGUAUGCCUAGAAAGUAGCUUAGCUUUCCCAGAUCUUUCAUGCGGAACCGUUUGUUGAGUUCUACCAGCAGCUGAGUUAAGACUUCUGAACUAUUCCCUGUUAUAGCCAUAUCAUCCACAUAUAGUAAUAGCAGAAUAAUAGCUUUACCUUUGGUGUAGAUGAACAGAGAAGGGUCUGACAUGCUGCAGAAGAAGCCAAACUCCAAAAGAUAAGUGCUAAACUUAUCAAACCAUGCUCGUGGUGAUUGUUUUAGACCAUACAGUGACUUGUGCAGAUGACAAACAUAAUCUGGAUGUGCAGGAUCAAUGAAGCCGGCAGGUUGUGUCAUGUACACAGUUUCAGUAAGAUCUCCAUGGCUGUAGGUUUCAAGAUAAUCAAUACCCUCUUCUUGAUCAAAGCCCUUGGCCACCAAUCUUGCCUUGAGUUUAUCUAGUGUUCCAUCUGCAUUGAGCUUUGUGCGGAAUACCCAUUUACAACCCAGAAUGUGCAUGUCUGGUGUUCUAGGGAUUAGGGACCAUGUUCCUGCUUCUUGGCAGUUAUCAUACUCCUCAUUCAUGGCUCCAUUCCAUCCAGAAUCUUUAAGGGCAGCAGUAACAGUUUUUGGCUCUGGAUAUGUUACUCUGGAGGUGAACAGCACAUAUCUGGGAUUAGGUUUUCUGAUACCUGCUUUAGACCUUGUGAUCAUGGGAUGUACUGGAGCUGCUUCUUGUAUAACUUGACUUGUUGUUGCAUUUGUUUCUUGUUGUUGUUGAGCAGACUCAUAUUGUUCUGUUUCUGUUGUAGGUGAAUUGCUGAGUGUUGGGGACAUAGUAGCUGCACUGUCACUACUAUGAGAAGAUGAAGGAGAACUGUUGCCUAUAGGAUCAGGAUCAAAGCCUGCCGUACACCCAGAAUUCUCCUCAUCUCUCACAAUAGUUUGUGCCUCAAGCUGUAAAGGAUCCACGGAUGCUUCAGAGGUGCCUUGUCAGGUGGUGGUAUGGGAAUACUCUUGGACCAGGCAGCAAGGAGAGGUGUUGAGACCAUUUGCGGGGUUGGUGCAGACCUGUGAAAAGGAAAGUCUUGUUCAUCAAACAGGACAUGGCGGCUGAUGUACACUCUCCCUGAUGCCACGAUCUCUUAAAGUGGGAUAACAGGCGCAUCCAAAUGUUCUUAAUGACGUAUACUCUGGUUGUUGUCCAUUCAGAACUUCAAAGGGACU
Molecule: RNA transcript, 2479 nt
Organism: Arabidopsis lyrata subsp. lyrata
Lineage: Eukaryota; Viridiplantae; Streptophyta; Magnoliopsida; Brassicales; Brassicaceae
Exons: 9
Source: RefSeq, a predicted model, not a curated record